RNAcentral lists this long non-coding RNA (369 nucleotides) under Anser brachyrhynchus (Pink-footed goose). RNAcentral describes it as "lncRNA (ENSABRG00000001908.1)". Lineage: Eukaryota; Metazoa; Chordata; Aves; Anseriformes; Anatidae. The record is from RNAcentral.
GUUCUUAAGAAAUGUUGCUCAUUUUCCAUAUGAGAAUUCUGCCUCCUAUCACUAAAACAGGACCACCUGCUGCCCAAGGACAUCUGUUAAGCUAUAGAGUUGAACUAACUUCCAUCAUGCAAAAGAGAGAUUGGACUGCUCACUUUCCUCCAGUGACUGGAAAAUGGUUACCAAGUGGGGGGGAAUUGGCAUAUGUGAUCUGUUUCUACUGUGCUGCUUGACUAGGUACUGAUAAUUCAGCAAUCUGACAGGCUAUGGCUUGGGAGAACAGCACAGUCAUCUUAGAUUAUCUCUUUUAGCCUAAAACACAACAAGAGAAAUAUAAGAAAUUGUGACUGAAGUGAAAAUAAAAUAAAAUAAGUAAAAGCA